GAUAAAUGUCCCGCAUCGGAUAUUGGAAGGGAUCCUAAGCAAUAUAUAAGAUGGAUGGGCCACUCCACUUAGCACCAAUUGGUUUUAGGUUGGAAGCCCAUCUAGCUUAACAUGGUAUCAGAGCCCGAUCCACACAGUCCAAUCCGAUCCAUUAUCGAUCCAGCCCAAAGUCGGCCCAUCGAUCCUUGCCCGAGCAUUCCGAAAUUGACGCUCAAAGAGCCAUCAUCUCGAGGGGGCGUAUUAGGGAUAAAUGUCCCACAUCGGAUAUUGGAAGGGAUCCUAAGCAAUAUAUAAGAUGGAUGGGCCACUCCACUUAGCACCAAUUGGUUUUAGGUUGGAAGCCCAUCUAGCUUAACAUG
Molecule: long non-coding RNA, 359 nt
Filed under: Brassica rapa (field mustard)
Lineage: Eukaryota; Viridiplantae; Streptophyta; Magnoliopsida; Brassicales; Brassicaceae
Description: long non-coding RNA (BRAP_LNC005465)
Source: RNAcentral